UGUCGUUUCACUUUGUCACUGUUCCUUUCUCCGUGAACACUCUUCUCUCUCUUUCUCUUUCCUUUUUCUAUAUUUAAUUUCACAAAGUAUAAUCCAUCCUCCCUGUAAUCGGUGCCACCGCUCGUCUGUCAAUCUCUACUGCAAAUGCUGCCUCCAAUGCACCCGGCACCACAGCCGCCACCGACGUCCGGUUUUCCUCCGCCGAUUCUGUUUCCCUUCGAGCGGUGAGUUACACGAUUGUGAAGAAAAGAGUGUUUCAGAAACAUAGAGAGAGAGAUUAAAGAACUAACAAAAAAAAAAUGGCGCAAAGCUUCAAGAUGAAGGUGCUCACUCUCAUCACCAAGCUAUCCGACCGGGACACCUACACA
This 368-nucleotide long non-coding RNA is filed under the name Linum usitatissimum (flax). RNAcentral's name for it is "long non-coding RNA (LUSI_LNC007019)". The record is from RNAcentral. Lineage: Eukaryota; Viridiplantae; Streptophyta; Magnoliopsida; Malpighiales; Linaceae.